Molecule: ribosomal RNA, 1131 nt
Filed under: uncultured fungus
Lineage: Eukaryota; Fungi
Description: SSU rRNA
Rfam family: Eukaryotic small subunit ribosomal RNA
Source: RNAcentral
GUAGUCAUAUGCUUGUCUCAAAGAUUAAGCCAUGCAUGUCUAAGUAUAAGCAAUUAUACGGCGAAACUGCGAAUGGCUCAUUAUAUAAGUUAUCGUUUAUUUGAUAGCACCUUACUACUUGGAUAACCGUGGUAAUUCUAGAGCUAAUACAUGCUAAAAAUCCCGACUUCGGAAGGGAUGUAUUUAUUAGAUUAAAAACCAAUGCCCUCUGGGCUCUCUGGUGAUUCAUGAUAACUUCUCGAAUCGCAGGGCCUUGCGCCGGCGAUGGUUCAUUCAAAUUUCUUCCCUAUCAACUUUCGAUGUUUGGGUAGUGGCCAAACAUGGUUGCAACGGGUAACGGAGGGUUAGGGCUCGACCCCGGAGAAGGAGCCUGAGAAACGGCUACUACAUCCAAGGAAGGCAGCAGGCGCGCAAAUUACCCAAUCCCGACACGGGGAGGUAGUGACAAUAAAUACUGAUACAGGGCUCUUUUGGGUCUUGUAAUUGGAAUGAGUACAAUUUAAAUCCCUUAACGAGGAACAAUUGGAGGGCAAGUCUGGUGCCAGCAGCCGCGGUAAUUCCAGCUCCAAUAGCGUAUAUUAAAGUUGUUGUGGUUAAAAAGCUCGUAGUUGAACCUUGGGCCUGGCUGGCCGGUCCGCCUCACCGCGUGCACUGGUCCGGCCGGGCCUUUCCCUCUGUGGAACCCCAUGCCCUUCACUGGGUGUGGCGGGGAAACAGGACUUUUACUUUGAAAAAAUUAGAGUGCUCCAGGCAGGCCUAUGCUCGAAUACAUUAGCAUGGAAUAAUGAAAUAGGACGUGCGGUUCUAUUUUGUUGGUUUCUAGGACCGCCGUAAUGAUUAAUAGGGACAGUCGGGGGCAUCAGUAUUCAAUUGUCAGAGGUGAAAUUCUUGGAUUUAUUGAAGACUAACUACUGCGAAAGCAUUUGCCAAGGAUGUUUUCAUUAAUCAGGAACGAAAGUUAGGGGAUCGAAGACGAUCAGAUACCGUCGUAGUCUUAACCAUAAACUAUGCCGACUAGGGAUCGGACGAUGUUAUUUUUUGACUCGUUCGGCACCUUACGAGAAAUCAAAGUGCUUGGGCUCCAGGGGGAGUAUGGUCGCAAGGCUGAAACUUAAAGGAAUUGACGGAAGA